This 301-nucleotide ribosomal RNA is filed under the name uncultured bacterium. RNAcentral's name for it is "partial 16S ribosomal RNA". It matches the Rfam family "Bacterial small subunit ribosomal RNA", at positions 509 to 807 of the family's 1533-position model. The record is from RNAcentral.
CAGCCGCCACGGUAAUACGUAGGGUGCGAGCGUUAAUCGGAAUUACUGGGCGUAAAGCGUGCGCAGGCGGUUCGUUAAGACAGAUGUGAAAUCCCCGGGCUUAACCUGGGAACUGCAUUUGUGACUGGCGAGCUAGAGUAUGGCAGAGGGGGGUAGAAUUCCACGUGUAGCAGUGAAAUGCGUAGAGAUGUGGAGGAAUACCGAUGGCGAAGGCAGCCCCCUGGGCCAAUACUGACGCUCAUGCACGAAAGCGUGGGGAGCAAACAGGAUUAGAUACCCGUGUAGUCCCUGUCUCUUAUAC